UUUUUAGUUAUUUGUUUACUUAAACAGUCAAAUAUUUUCAAAAUUACACAUAUAACCGUUUUAUUACAACACGAAUAACAAUGAAGUAAGUAAACAAUAUUUACAUUUCUUAAUACAGUUAUACACAAUGUGCUAUAUACAAAUCGCAAGCUAACUUCAACAUCCACAUAUCUAUCCAUGGUUGAUUUAUUGUAUCAACCUUACGACAAAUACUCAAAAAUUUUAUAUAUUUUAAAUAUCAACAAUCGCUCCUGCAAGUAAAUAAUAAUAUAUUAGUUCGAAAUAUAUAUCUAAAAAAUAAGUUUUCAAAUUAAAAACUCUUAAAUCCAUACAAUUCUCUUUGUCUCACCGUCAUCAUGUCCCGCACAGUGGCUAAUAUGUCAUCAACUCGAAUCAUCGCAUGUCUAGCUAUCAUGAGGAUGAUCACAACCAUUAGCUCCAGUUGAGCUUGUGUUAGAUAGUUAUGAUCGUAGUCGUACACAUAGAUGGUGGAUUCAUCUAAUGCGAUCUCAACUAGGGCUGGGCAAAUAUCCCGAACC
This 539-nucleotide long non-coding RNA is filed under the name Olea europaea (common olive). RNAcentral describes it as "long non-coding RNA (OEUR_LNC011694)". The record is from RNAcentral. Lineage: Eukaryota; Viridiplantae; Streptophyta; Magnoliopsida; Lamiales; Oleaceae.